This 228-nucleotide long non-coding RNA is filed under the name Nicotiana benthamiana. RNAcentral's name for it is "long non-coding RNA (NBEN_LNC028085)". The record is from RNAcentral. Lineage: Eukaryota; Viridiplantae; Streptophyta; Magnoliopsida; Solanales; Solanaceae.
AAAUUUCCGGCGAGAAGCAAGAAUUCAAAACCUCUAAACAGCAAUAGGCUUAAAUAAUCAAAUAUUAAAAUAUUUACCAAAAAUUAAAAUUCAGAAUGCAAAGCAGGAAAAUGAUGAGGCUGUGACUGAAUGUGAAAACCAAUUCACAUAAUUCAACAUUUUCCUUCUUUACAAUUUUAUUUAUAUUGUAAAGUUACAAUCAAAAUUUUAUAUAUGCAUGACAAUGGC